Molecule: ribosomal RNA, 253 nt
Filed under: uncultured bacterium
Lineage: Bacteria
Description: partial 16S ribosomal RNA
Rfam family: Bacterial small subunit ribosomal RNA
Source: RNAcentral
UACAGAGGGUGCAAGCGUUGUUCGGAAUUAUUGGGCGUAAAGGGAGUGUAGGCGGCUCUUUAAGUCUUCUGUGAAAUCUACGGGCUUAACCUGUAACGUGCAGAGGAUACUGAGGAGCUUGAGUGUCGGAGAGGAUAGUGGAAUUCCCGGUGUAGAGGUGAAAUUCGUAGAUAUCGGGAGGAACACCAGUGGCGAAGGCGGCGACCUGGACGGACAUUGACGCUGAGACGCGAAAGCGUGGGGAGCAAACAGG